UUAAAAGAACGAAAAGUCAUAAUAAAUUAUUAAGUUGUGAGUUAUGAAUUUCCCAAAAUAAAAAUUCUUCCAAAGGGAAGCUUGUGAAAGAAAGAAAUAGUUUUCACAAGGAAAACAGGGGGAACUGAAACAUCUAACUACCCCUCGGAAAAAAAAUCAAACGAGAUUUCGUUAGUAGUGGCGAGCGAACGCGAAUUUAGACAAAAAUAUUUCAAAGCUUUUUAAAUACGUAAGAAAGCGUGACCGUAGAAGGUGAUAGUCCUGUAUAAAAAGUGAAAUAUUUUAUUAAGUAGAGUGGGACAUGAUUUAGCUUGCUUGAAAAGGGAGGACCACCUUCCAAGUCUAAAUACUUUUUAAUGACUGAUAGUGUACAAGUACCGUAAGGGAAAGAUGAAAAGAACCCAAAGAGGGAGUGAAAUAGAACCUAAAAUUCAAUAUAUACAAGCAGUAGAAGGUUCUCUUAUGAGAAUUUACUACGUACCUUUUGCAUAAUGGGUCAGCAAGUUAAUUUAUUUAGCAAGCUUAAAUUGAGAAAGAUAAGCGUAGUGAAAACGAUUCUAGUUAAGUGAAUUAGACCCGAAAACAAGUGAUCUAUCCAUGAGCAGGUUGAAGGUGUAUUAAUAGUACGCCGGAGGACCGAACCCACGUCUGUUGCAAUAGGCCGGGAUGACUUGUGGAUAGGGGUGAAAGGCCAAUCAAACUUGUAAAUAGCUGGUUUUCCAUGAAAUUUAUUUAGGUAAAGCGUGCGAUGNUAAUUUUAGGGGUAGAGCACUAGAUAGGUAUCGGGUUGCACAGAGCUUUACUGAACCUAACUAAACUCCGAAUACUAAAACAAAGCAUCACACAGACAGACUUAGGGUGACAAGGUCCUAAGUCGAGAGGGAAAAAGCCCAGAUCGUGUGUUAAGGUCCCCAAAUAAUAACUAAGUGGUUCAAGGAUGUGAAAAGGUCAAGACAACCAGGAUGUGGGCUUGGAAUCAGCCAUCAUUUAAAGAGUGCGUAAUAGCUCACUGGUCUAGAAUAUUAUUUCAAGCUUUUUUGCGCCGAAAAUGUAAGGGGCUCAAGUUAUUUACCGAAACCACGAGCAUUGAUUUAUCAAUGCGGUAAUGGAACGUUCUGUAGAUCGUUGACGUCUUUUUGUAAAAAAAGAUUGAGAUAUCAGAAGCGACAAUGCUGACAUGAGUAGCAUAAAUCAACGUGAAAAACGUUGAGACCGAAAGUUCAAGGGUUUCUGCGCACGGCUAAUCCACGCAGAGAAAGUCGGCCCCUAAUUGAAGGGCGAAAGCCGUACAAAAUGGGUGCUCGUUUAUAAUACGAGGCCUUUUGGAAAGUGACAUUCUUUUUACGUAUCUAAGAAUUUUGAACUUUUGUUCAAAGAUAGGAUUNUUUUUAGAACGGGAUUAGGAUCGAGAAAUAACUCCAAUUGAGACCGUACCCCAAACCGACACAGGUGAACAAGUAGAGUAUACUAAGGUUUUGAAAGGACCAUAUUGAAGGAAUUCGGCAAAAUGACCUCGUAACUUCGGGAGAAGAGGUGCCUCAAUUGAGGUGGAACAGAGCAGGGGGUAGCGACUGUUUAGUAAAAACACAGGUCUCUGCAAAAUCGUAAGAUGAAGUAUAGGGACUGACACCUGCCCGGUGCGGUAAAGUUAAUAGGAGGGGUUUAAGCUCCGAAUUGAAGCUCCCGUAAACGGCGGCUGUAACUCUGACGGUCCUAAGGUAGCAAAAUUCCUUGACGGGUAAGUUCCGUCCUGCAUGAAUGGUGUAACGACUUUCCCACU
RNAcentral lists this ribosomal RNA (1780 nucleotides) under metagenome. RNAcentral describes it as "bacterial LSU rRNA". It matches the Rfam family "Bacterial large subunit ribosomal RNA", at positions 60 to 2017 of the family's 2925-position model. The record is from RNAcentral.